RNAcentral lists this transfer RNA (61 nucleotides) under Homalogaster paloniae. Its description in RNAcentral is "tRNA-Ile". The record is from RNAcentral. Lineage: Eukaryota; Metazoa; Platyhelminthes; Trematoda; Gastrodiscidae.
CUGAUAGGGCUGCUAAGCAGGUUACUGUGAUAUAGUAAUAGUAAAGUUUUCUUUCGUCGGU